AUGAACACAUACUCAGUCCCAGUUACGCUUUAUCUAUCAAGAAUAAAUCACAUUGUCACAAUUAUUUCAUGAGAAGCAGUAAAAAUAUUUAAUUCCAACUUGAUUGGCAACAGUGUAUAUAU
This is a long non-coding RNA of Sphaeramia orbicularis (orbiculate cardinalfish), 122 nucleotides long. RefSeq lists it as uncharacterized. The transcript has 3 exons. NCBI's taxonomy places the organism in Eukaryota, Metazoa, Chordata, Actinopteri, Kurtiformes, Apogonidae. The record is from RefSeq and is a predicted model, not a curated record.